Molecule: ribosomal RNA, 497 nt
Filed under: uncultured bacterium
Lineage: Bacteria
Description: partial 16S ribosomal RNA
Rfam family: Bacterial small subunit ribosomal RNA
Source: RNAcentral
GACGAACGCUGGCGGCGUUCCUAAUACAUGCGAGUUGAGCGAUGAAGAUUGGUGCUUGCACCAAUUUGAAGAGCAGCGAACGGGUGAGUAACGCGUGGGGAAUCUGCCUUUGAGCGGGGGACAACAUUUGGAAACGAAUGCUAAUACCGCAUAACAACUUUAAACAUACGUUUUAAGUUUGAAAGAUGCAAUUGCAUCACUCAAAGAUGAUCCCGCGUUGUAUUAGCUAGUUGGUGAGGUAAAGGCUCACCAAGGCGAUGAUACAUAGCCGACCUGAGAGGGUGAUCGGCCACAUUGGGACUGAGACACGGCCCAAACUCCUACGGGAGGCAGCAGUAGGGAAUCUUCGGCAAUGGACGAAAGUCUGACCGAGCAACGCCGCGUGAGUGAAGAAGGUUUUCGGAUCGUAAAACUCUGUUGGUAGAGAAGAACGUUGGUGAGAGUGGAAAGCUCAUCAAGUGACGGUAACUACCCAGAAAGGGACGGCUAACUACGUG